Molecule: unclassified non-coding RNA, 319 nt
Filed under: plant metagenome
Description: partial contains 5.8S ribosomal RNA, internal transcribed spacer 2, and large subunit ribosomal RNA
Rfam family: 5.8S ribosomal RNA (bases 1-104)
Source: RNAcentral
AAAUGCGAUAAGUAAUGUGAAUUGCAGAAUUCAGUGAAUCAUCGAAUCUUUGAACGCACAUUGCGCCCGCCAGUAUUCUGGCGGGCAUGCCUGUUCGAGCGUCAUUACAACCCUCAGGCCCCCGGGCCUGGCGUUGGGGAUCGGCGGAAGCCCCCUGCGGGCACAACGCCGUCCCCCAAAUACAGUGGCGGUCCCGCCGCAGCUUCCAUUGCGUAGUAGCUAACACCUCGCAACUGGAGAGCGGCGCGGCCACGCCGUAAAACACCCAACUUCUGAAUGUUGACCUCGAAUCAGGUAGGAAUACCCACUGAACUUAAGC